GAGUUUGAUCUUGGCUCAGAUUGAACGCUGGCGGCAUGCCUUACACAUGCAAGUCGAACGGUAACAGGUCUUCGGAUGCUGACGAGUGGCGAACGGGUGAGUAAUACAUCGGAACGUGCCCGAUCGUGGGGGGAUAACGAAGCGAAAGCUUUGCUAAUACCGCAUAAGAUCUACGGAUGAAAGCAGGGGACCGCAAGGCCUUGCGCGAACGGAGCGGCCGAUGGCAGAUUAGGUAGUUGGUGGGAUAAAAGCUUACCAAGCCGACGAUCUGUAGCUGGUCUGAGAGGACGACCAGCCACACUGGGACUGAGACACGGCCCAGACUCCUACGGGAGGCAGCAGUGGGGAAUUUUGGACAAUGGGCGAAAGCCUGAUCCAGCCAUGCCGCGUGCAGGAUGAA
RNAcentral lists this ribosomal RNA (400 nucleotides) under uncultured microorganism. RNAcentral describes it as "bacterial SSU rRNA". It matches the Rfam family "Bacterial small subunit ribosomal RNA", at positions 9 to 412 of the family's 1533-position model. The record is from RNAcentral.